GUGCUCUGAAAUUCUUAUCUUUAUCAUACGUCAGUCGGAUGUCUAUGACGUCAGUUGUGUAUGUGAACAAUAGAUGCAACUGACUGUCAGUGCACUAGUGUGUUUUGAUACUUGGUUUCGUCUCUUUUUGCUAGUGCUGCCGAAGAUGGCAAACUUCAAUUUCUUCUGCACAAGUUUCCUCGUCUCAAUUUUAGUGUACAGAGGUGUGGUAGUGGCCAAUGACUGCAUCCCUCGUCAUUAUGGGAAAAGUAGCUUCGUAUGUGUCUGCAAUGCCACAUACUGUGACGACUCACCGACCGUUGGCGAUCUAGCGGCAGGCCAAGCUACUUUGAUCUCUUCCACUAGAGCAGACGCACGCUUCCGAAUAACCAACCUGACUUUCGUGGGGUUUUCAAAUUCACUUCUUGCAAACCAAAUAUUUAUAGAUCCUUCUGUUCAAUACCAAAAAAUUCUUGGAUUUGGUGGCGCAUUUACCGACGCAGCUGGAAUCAACAUUGCGAAGCUGUCGAUUUUGGCCCAGCAAAAUUUACUUAAGUCAUAUUUUGGAAGCGAGGGAAUAGAAUAUGGGCUGGGUAGAGUUCCUAUUGGUGGAAGUGAUUUUUCUACCUUGGCUUACACCUACGAUGAUUUUCCUGGAGAUAAUAAUCUAGCAAACUUUUCCCUAACUAAAGAAGAUCUGUUCUUCAAGAUUCCAUAUAUCUCCUGGGCUCAGAGUUUUAGUGCCAAACCUAUAAAGCUUCUUGCCAGCCCAUGGAGUGCCCCUGCAUGGAUGAAAAGCAAUGGCAAACUAAAUGGCAAAGGGUAUCUUCUUCAAGAGUAUUACCAAGUAUGGGCAGAAUAUAUCGCGAGAUUUUUUGAAGAAUACAAGAGCCACAACUUGCAUUUUUUCGCCGUUACACCUCAAAAUGAACCAUCCGAUGGAAAUAUCCCAGAUUUUCCAUUCAACUGUAUGGGCUGGACUCCAGAACAGCAGGCAAUGUUCGUUGGCCUUAAUUUGGGACCUACGUUAGAGGCCAGUGGAUUUGGAUCCGUUAAAAUCAUGAUUAUGGAUGAUCAACGCCUUUUGCUUCCGAAAUGGGCCGAAAGUGUUUUGUCCCAUCCAUUGGCGAAAAAGUACGUUGCAGGUGUGGCAGUUCACUGGUACACGGAUCUGUUUACACCGGCAACAGUUCUAACCAAAUUUCAUGAAAAAUUCCCAGAUCAUUUCAUUUUGGCCACUGAGGCCUGCGAAGGUGACAAACCGUGGCAACCGGCCGUUAGUCUUGGAUCGUGGGAACGUCUUGAAUCUUAUGCGCACAACAUUAUAGAGGAUCUCAAUCAUUGGGUGACUGGAUGGAUGGACUGGAAUCUUGCGCUGGACGAACGCGGGGGUCCAAACUGGGCUGGAAAUUUUGUCGAUUCCCCCAUUAUUGUUAACAAAGCUAGAGACGAGUUUUACAAGCAACCCAUGUUUUAUGCACUGGGACAUUUUUCCAAAUACAUUCCAGAGGACUCGGUCAGGAUUGGUAUUGAUCUGAUUGACAAUUCAAACUUUUUCGGAACCGCUUUCAAACGUCCUGAUGGAAAGCACACAGUAGUCCUGCUCAACCGGUCAAACGAGGAUAAAUUAAUUAUGUUGGUUGACCGUGAACGCGGUGCCUUGGAAUUCACUUGUCCCGCCCGCUCUUUAAAUACGGUGGUUUAUGGUUAAUGCUUUCUUACGUGGAUGCCAAAUAUUCUAUAAAUAACUAGAAAAUGUUAUAACCGGACACAUUUUUCUCGCUAGGUUCUGAUUUGGAAAAAUAGAAACAAGAACUUUUGUCUGUUUUAUCCCUGUAAUGAGUCAUCUGCUAGAAAAUCGCCUUUGAAGAAAAAUAAAUCGCUUCCGUGUUUACGGCUCUUUA
This 1883-nucleotide unclassified non-coding RNA is filed under the name Daphnia magna. RNAcentral's name for it is "lysosomal acid glucosylceramidase, transcript variant X3". The record is from RNAcentral. Lineage: Eukaryota; Metazoa; Arthropoda; Branchiopoda; Diplostraca; Daphniidae.